This is a small nuclear RNA of Dermacentor albipictus, 184 nucleotides long. RefSeq annotates it as U2 spliceosomal RNA. The record is from RefSeq and is a predicted model, not a curated record. Lineage: Eukaryota; Metazoa; Arthropoda; Arachnida; Ixodida; Ixodidae.
AGACGUGGCCGACGCGGGGCAAAUCGUAGCAUCUGUUGUUAUCAGCUCAAUAUGUGAUACGGGUUCUACUUGGACCCAAGAUAUUGAACUCAUUUUUGCAAGUUGGCGGAGUGCUCGACGCCUGCUUCACUUCCGCAGCGAGUCUGCCCGGUAUUGCACCAUCUUCGAGAUCGGCCCACGGUUA